UUACAGGAAGAUGAACCAUCCAUCAAGAUACAAAAGGUGGAUGAUGUAUCACAACAUAACAUUGUAUCAGAUGAUGAACCGAAAAUAUUAAAUUUUACACCACAAUUGAAGGAUGUAUCAGCACACCAAAUGGAACCACAAAGAGCAGAUACUGAUCAGCUUAUUGCUGAUUCUGAUACAUUACAGAACACUGGAAAGAAAGAUGGAAGAGUAGCCGAUGAUAAAACUGACAAAGUAGAAGAGCAAGUUGAGGAGAUUGAAAAAGAAAAAAUCAAACCAAGCACAUCAGAAUCCAAUACUUCAGCACCAUUUUCGACCGAAACUCUGGAUGUGAUAGAUGCUCUAAUAUA
Solanum dulcamara is the source of this 350-nucleotide long non-coding RNA. RefSeq lists it as uncharacterized. NCBI's taxonomy places the organism in Eukaryota, Viridiplantae, Streptophyta, Magnoliopsida, Solanales, Solanaceae. The record is from RefSeq and is a predicted model, not a curated record. The transcript has 3 exons.